AUUGAACGCUGGCGGCAUGCUUUACACAUGCAAGUCGAACGGCAGCGCGGGCUUCGGCCUGGCGGCGAGUGGCGAACGGGUGAGUAAUGCAUCGGAACGUGCCCAGUAGUGGGGGAUAGCCCGGCGAAAGCCGGAUUAAUACCGCAUACGACCUGAGGGUGAAAGCGGGGGACCGAAAGGCCUCGCGCUAUUGGAGCGGCCGAUGUCGGAUUAGCUAGUUGGUGGGGUAAAGGCUUACCAAGGCGACGAUCCGUAGCUGGUCUGAGAGGACGACCAGCCACACUGGGACUGAGACACGGCCCAGACUCCUACGGGAGGCAGCAGUGGGGAAGUUUGGACAAUGGGGGCAACCCUGAUCCAGCCAUGCCGCGUGCGGGAAGAAGGCCUUCGGGUUGUAAACCGCUUUUGUUCGGGAAGAAAACCUCUGGGCUAAUACCCCGGGGGGAUGACGGUACCGGAAGAAUAAGCACCGGCUAACUACGUG
RNAcentral lists this ribosomal RNA (484 nucleotides) under uncultured bacterium. RNAcentral describes it as "partial 16S ribosomal RNA". It matches the Rfam family "Bacterial small subunit ribosomal RNA", at positions 29 to 507 of the family's 1533-position model. The record is from RNAcentral.